GUUGUAGACGUGGAAGGUGGAGGUCACUCAAAGUUUGAAGGUGGAGUUAGAAUAUCUACCAUUCAUCUACUUGGCCUUGCCAAAGGUUUGAACAUGGACGGGAGGGUUGGAGACUACUGUCAGGUGGCCGGAAGGCAUCCUUUCAAGCUGGCCUCACGAACUUUUGAGACCCAAGAAGGAUAUACUAUUACCUGAGUAAACAGGAAGUGCAGAGCAAGCAACCUCCAAAACUAUAGAAAUAACAAAGACAUCUGGAUGCCUGGACAGUCACCCAAGGUUCCUCUGCAAUGUUGGGGUGUCAUCUUCAGCCUACAGGCCUAGAACAGCUGACAGACUUUUCUGUGAAGCAAGAAUCUCGAAGGACUGUCUUGCUUUGUGUUGGCAAAGGUCAGCAGUCUCUUCCCUU
Peromyscus eremicus (cactus mouse) is the source of this 406-nucleotide long non-coding RNA. RefSeq lists it as uncharacterized. The record is from RefSeq and is a predicted model, not a curated record. Lineage: Eukaryota; Metazoa; Chordata; Mammalia; Rodentia; Cricetidae. The transcript is spliced from 3 exons.